This 115-nucleotide ribosomal RNA is filed under the name Edwardsiella tarda. RNAcentral also lists the same sequence under 1 other name. The record is from RNAcentral. Lineage: Bacteria; Pseudomonadati; Pseudomonadota; Gammaproteobacteria; Enterobacterales; Hafniaceae.
CUGGCGGCGAUAGCGCGGUGGUCCCACCUGACCCCAUGCCGAACUCAGAAGUGAAACGCCGUAGCGCCGAUGGUAGUGUGGGGUCUCCCCAUGCGAGAGUAGGGAACUGCCAGGC